RNAcentral lists this ribosomal RNA (111 nucleotides) under Acanthopleura gemmata. Its description in RNAcentral is "partial 5.8S rRNA". The stretch from base 14 to 111 matches the Rfam family "5.8S ribosomal RNA", at positions 1 to 99 of the family's 154-position model. Rfam says of the family: 5.8S ribosomal RNA (5.8S rRNA) is a component of the large subunit of the eukaryotic ribosome. It is transcribed by RNA polymerase I as part of the 45S precursor that also contains 18S and 28S rRNA. The record is from RNAcentral. Lineage: Eukaryota; Metazoa; Mollusca; Polyplacophora; Chitonida; Chitonidae.
UUUGACGAUUGACUACUCUAUGCGGUGGAUCACUCGGCUCGUGUAUCGAUGAAGAGCGCAGCCAGCUGCGUGAAUUAAUGUGAAUUGCAGGACACGUUGAACAUCGACACC